GGAUAUAGCUCAGUUGAUAGAGUGCUUGCCUUGCAUGCACAAGGUCCUGGUUUCGAUCCCCAGCACCA
This 68-nucleotide transfer RNA is filed under the name Marmota monax (woodchuck). RNAcentral's name for it is "tRNA.Ala". The record is from RNAcentral. Lineage: Eukaryota; Metazoa; Chordata; Mammalia; Rodentia; Sciuridae.